Centruroides sculpturatus (bark scorpion) is the source of this 336-nucleotide long non-coding RNA. RefSeq lists it as uncharacterized. NCBI's taxonomy places the organism in Eukaryota, Metazoa, Arthropoda, Arachnida, Scorpiones, Buthidae. The transcript is spliced from 4 exons. The record is from RefSeq and is a predicted model, not a curated record.
AGUCGGCUUUCGGAGGAGUGGACGGACUUUGAAACUUAAAAUGACUUAAAAAAAACGUCACGGAUGUAAAUAUACUUUAAAAACUUUUUUUUAACGCCAAUAAUAUUAAGAAAAUUAGAAAAUCCAAGGAAAAUAUGGAAUCGCGGCUAAGAGAAAAUCCAAAACGAGUUUUUGAAUGUUUCUGUGAAGUAGUCAUUCCAUCUUCUAGUAAUGAAAAUUGCUGGAUUUUGCAGAAGUUUCCUGAUUCUUACAAUAACGAGGAAAUGUUGAAGUCCAUAAUUGAAUUUUCUUAUCCUUGUGAAUUUACAAAGUAAGUCAUUUUAAAGCUUUAUAUUU